This 482-nucleotide ribosomal RNA is filed under the name uncultured bacterium. Its description in RNAcentral is "partial 16S ribosomal RNA". It matches the Rfam family "Bacterial small subunit ribosomal RNA", at positions 28 to 507 of the family's 1533-position model. The record is from RNAcentral.
GAUGAACGCUAGCGGCAGGCCUAAUACAUGCAAGUCGGACGGGAUUCAGGAGCUUGCUUCUGAUGAGAGUGGCGCACGGGUGCGUAACACGUAUGUAACCUACCUUUAUCAGGGGGAUAGCCUCUCGAAAGAGAGAUUAAGCCCGCAUAAAAUCACAGCACAGCAUUGUGUAAUGAUCAAAUAUUUAUAGGAUAAAGAUGGGCAUGCGGAACAUUAGCUAGAUGGCGGGGUAACGGCCCACCAUGGCGACGAUGUUUAGGGGAUCUGAGAGGAUGGCCCCCCACACUGGUACUGAGACACGGACCAGACUCCUACGGGAGGCAGCAGUAAGGAAUAUUGGUCAAUGGGCGGAAGCCUGAACCUGCCAUGCCGCGUGCAGGAAGACGGCCCUACGGGUUGUAAACUGCUUUUAUACGGGAAUAAACCCAGAUACGUGUAUCUGGCUGAAUGUACUGUAAGAAUAAGGAUCGGCUAACUCCGUG